RNAcentral lists this ribosomal RNA (244 nucleotides) under uncultured bacterium. Its description in RNAcentral is "partial 16S ribosomal RNA". It matches the Rfam family "Bacterial small subunit ribosomal RNA", at positions 528 to 772 of the family's 1533-position model. The record is from RNAcentral.
UAGGGAGCGAGCGUUAUCCGGAUUCAUUGGGCGUAAAGCGCGCGUAGGCGGCUCGUUAAGCGGGACCUAUAAUCCCGGGGCUCAACCCCGGGCCGGGUUCCGAACUGACGGGCUCGAGUUCGGUAGGGGCGAGUGGAAUUCCCGGUGUAGCGGUGGAAUGCGCAGAUAUCGGGAAGAACACCGAUGGCGAAGGCAGCUCGCUGGGCCGAAACUGACGCUGAGGCGCGAAAGCUAGGGGAGCGAA